RNAcentral lists this long non-coding RNA (822 nucleotides) under Carica papaya (papaya). RNAcentral's name for it is "long non-coding RNA (CPAP_LNC011804)". The record is from RNAcentral. Lineage: Eukaryota; Viridiplantae; Streptophyta; Magnoliopsida; Brassicales; Caricaceae.
UGCUGUCUGUGGCCAUCUUCUUGAGUGGUGGCUGCUGGAUUAAGUUAUCCAUACCUGCUUUGCGUUUAUCUUUCAUCGGAAACCCGGGUAACAACAAGGGAAUGCAGGGAAAAUUAAGAGUGUUAGCAACUGCCAAAAUGAAAUUUAGAACAUAACAUAAGGAUAGUGUAACAAUAGGGUAAAAGAUCAGUUCACAGCCCGUGGUUUGAUCUUAUUGCAAUUAAGAAUCUACACUACUUUUGUCAUUUUACCUGAAGUUCUUAUAUCUCUAGACUAUUAUCUUAUAACUAUAUUGUUUAACCAUAACAUAUAAUCAUGUUCAAAAUCCAAACAUGUGCAAAUAUACUAAAGUUUUUGUACAAUGACAAAAAAUCAAACCACAAAGCACUGAAUUGUCAUAAAAAAUUAACAAGAAUGGAGCAGCAAUAAAAGCCAAACCACAAUGAUUUUUUAUUGUUGAAUGUAAAAAGCCAAACCACAAUGAUUGAACCUAUGUCAUUAAUGACAUGCUGCACGAGCAACUAGCAUCUAUAAACAUAAAAGCAGAUGUUCAUAAGUACUGAGAUGCAACAAGUUAUAAAGAAAGUAUACUUUGCAUCAUAUUUGCAAAUUUUUCUUUGCUCUUCAUGAUAGCACGCGUUGGAGGAGAAAGCAAACCACGUAAUGUUUUAUGCCGAAGCCGAUCAUACAUGCAUAGACCAGCAGCACCCUGGAGGUUAUAUACUCGUUAGUUCCAUAAAGCAGCAAAAAUACGUAUGUAGUUAGAAAAAUAAAGUUCACCAUCAAGGCCCCAUAAACACGCCAAGCUUCACAUCUCUUCGU